AUGGCGCGGGCGAAGCCGUCGUCGGCGGCGGCGAAGAAGAGCCAGGCGGCGCAGCAGGGCGGCGGGGCCGGGCACGCGGCGCCGUCCGGGCUCGCGCGGUACCUCGACCCGGAGGCGCCGUGGGACAAGGACCGGCUGCUGGACGCCGUGCACUGGAUCCGCCAGGCGGUGGGCCUCGCCUGCGGCCUUCUCUGGGGCGCCGUCCCGCUCGUCGGCGCCACCUGGAUCGUCCUGUUCGUGGCCAUUUCUUCUGGCAUAAUUUACUGGUACUAUGCGCACCUAUUGAAGGUCGACGAGGAAGAAUUUGGAGGCCAUGGCGCGCUGCUUCAGGAGGGGAUGUUUGCAUCUUUCACCCUUUUCCUGCUUUCAUGGAUUCUUGUGUACAGUUUGGCUCACUUUUGA
RNAcentral lists this ribosomal RNA (402 nucleotides) under Triticum aestivum (bread wheat). RNAcentral's name for it is "partial small subunit ribosomal RNA". Lineage: Eukaryota; Viridiplantae; Streptophyta; Magnoliopsida; Poales; Poaceae. The record is from RNAcentral.